UACGGAGGGGGCUAGCGUUAUUCGGAAUUACUGGGCGUAAAGCGCACGUAGGCGGAUCAGAAAGUCAGAGGUGAAAUCCCAGGGCUCAACCUUGGAACUGCCUUUGAAACUUCUGGUCUUGAGUUCGAGAGAGGUGAGUGGAAUUCCGAGUUUAGAGGUGAAAUUCGUAGAUAUUCGGAGGAACCCCAGUGGCGAAGGCGGCCAUCUGGACCAGCACUCACACUGAGGCACGAAAGCGUGGGGAGCAAACAGG
This 253-nucleotide ribosomal RNA is filed under the name uncultured bacterium. RNAcentral describes it as "partial 16S ribosomal RNA". It matches the Rfam family "Bacterial small subunit ribosomal RNA", at positions 524 to 776 of the family's 1533-position model. The record is from RNAcentral.